Vigna radiata var. radiata (mung bean) is the source of this 1811-nucleotide RNA transcript. It is a transcript of the gene named probable sugar phosphate/phosphate translocator At4g32390, with no coding region annotated. The record is from RefSeq and is a predicted model, not a curated record. Lineage: Eukaryota; Viridiplantae; Streptophyta; Magnoliopsida; Fabales; Fabaceae. The transcript is spliced from 3 exons.
AAUGUGAAGAAAGUGGUGUGUGUGGCAGAGGCAGUGCAUCCCACAUCUCUUCUCUCUGAGAUUCAUUGUGUUGAGUCUGGGUGUGUAGAAAGAUGGGAAAAGGUGGAUCUCUGAGCGAUGGCGUUGUGAAGAAGAUCGUGCUAUCCUACACCUACGUUGCCAUAUGGAUCUUCCUCAGUUUCACUGUAAUCGUCUACAACAAGUACAUCCUCGACAAGAAGAUGUACAACUGGCCAUUCCCCAUCUCCCUCACCAUGAUCCACAUGUCCUUCUGCGCCNCCCUCGCCGUCCUCCUCGUCCGCGUCUUCCGCCUCGUCGAGCCAGUUUCAAUGUCACGCGAGGUAUACCUCUCCUCGGUCGUCCCCAUCGGAGCCCUCUACUCCCUCUCCCUCUGGCUCUCCAACUCCGCCUACAUCUACCUCUCCGUCUCCUUCAUCCAGAUGUUGAAGGCUCUAAUGCCUGUCGCUGUAUACUCCAUCGGCGUCCUCCUCCGCAAAGAGUCCUACAAAAAUGACACCAUGCUCAACAUGCUCUCCAUCUCCCUCGGAGUAGGCGUCGCCGCUUACGGGGAAGCGCGUUUCGACGCCUGGGGCGUCCUCCUCCAACUGGGCGCGGUUGCCUUCGAGGCCACGCGCCUCGUCAUGAUCCAAAUCCUCCUCACCUCCAAGGGGAUCUCGCUCAACCCCAUCACCUCGCUCUACUACGUCGCCCCCUGCUGCCUCGUCUUCCUCUCCGUCCCCUGGAUCUUCGUCGAGUACCCUGUCCUCCGAGACACCUCCACCUUCCAGUUCGAUUUCGUGGUCUUCGGGACCAACUCCUUCUGCGCCUUCGCGCUCAACCUCGCAGUCUUUCUCCUCGUCGGGAAGACCUCGGCGCUGACUAUGAACGUCGCUGGCGUGGUGAAGGACUGGCUCCUGAUUGCCUUCUCGUGGUCGGUUAUCAAGGACACCGUGACUCCGAUUAAUUUGUUCGGUUACGGGCUGGCGUUCCUUGGCGUGGCGUAUUACAACCACUCCAAGUUGCAGGCGCUGAAGGCCAAAGAGGCGCAGAAGAAGACCGCCCAAGCCGAUGAGGAGGAAGGGAGGCUGCUCGAGGAGAGAGAGGCCGACGGAAUGGAUUCCAGAGAAAAAAAGUCGGUACGAGGAAAAUAAAACCAGGAGGUUUCGAUUUGAGCGAAUAUAUGGCAAUGGCAUCGUCCUCUCUGGCCUAAUUACCGGUUCGGCUAUUUGAUCAGCUAAGUCGUCAGCAGAAAGAAUUGGACUGUCUGGACCAAUGGCAGCAGCUCCCAACUCAUGCUCCAGUUCAGACAGAAGAUCAGCAUCCAAACUAGGAACCCACCUAUGAUUCCUGCAAGCUGCCAGAAAACUCCUCAAUAUAACACCAUUCGGCUCCAUAGGCAUGCCCUUGAUAAUGUCAUAUGCCUCUUGAAUCAAGCCAGAUCUUCCUAGCAAGUCAACCAUGCAUCCAUAGUGUUCAACACUCGGUUUUAUGCUAUACAUUCUCACCAUCCGAUCAAAAUACCUUCUCCCUUCACAAACGAGUCCAGCGUGGCUGCAGGCCGAGAGAAUCACAGCAAAAACCAAACUAUUCGGUUGCAGCCCCAUAUCCUCUGAUAGGAUACUGGGGAGAGGACUUAAUGGGUUAGAAUAGAAGGUAGAGGAAUUCUGUAAAUAAGACCCGAUUUGUGUCAGGGGUAUCGAGGAUAUAUUUUGUAAAGUUAGGCUUUAGCUUGUGUAGAGAGGUUAUGCUCCCAAUCCCAUUUUGUUGUACAAUGCUUAUACGUUAUGAAAUAAUAGAAUUCUUUCUUUCAA